CAGUCGAACGAUGAAGACCGUGCUUGCACGGUUGGAUUAGUGGCGAACGGGUGAGUAUCACGUGAGUAACCUUCCCUUAACUCUGGGAUAAGCCCGGGAAACUGGGUCUAAUACCGGAUACGACCAGUCCUCGCAUGGGGUGCUGGUGGAAAGAUUUAUCGGUUUUGGAUGGACUCGCGGCCUAUCAGCUUGUUGGUGAGGUAAAGGCUCACCAAGGCGAUGACGGGUAGCCGGCCUGAGAGGGUGACCGGCCACACUGGGACUGAGACACGGCCCAGACUCCUACGGGAGGCAGCAGUGGGGAAUAUUGCACAAUGGGCGAAAGCCUGAUGCAGCGACGCCGCGUGCGGGAUGACGGCCUUCGGGUUGUAAACCGCUUUCAGCAGGGAAGAAGCGAAAGUGACGGUACCUGCAGAAGAAGCGCCGGCUAACUACGUGCCAGCAGCCGCGGUAAUACGUAGGGCGCGAGCGUUAUCCGGAAUUAUUGGGCGUAAAGAGCUCGUAGGCGGUUUGUCACGUCUGCUGUGAAAGCCCGGGGCUCAACCCCGGGUGUGCAGUGGGUACGGGCAGACUAGAGUGCAGUAGGGGAGACUGGAAUUCCUGGUGUAGCGGUGAAAUGCGCAGAUAUCAGGAGGAACACCGAUGGCGAAGGCAGGUCUCUGGGCUGUUACUGACGCUGAGGAGC
This 685-nucleotide ribosomal RNA is filed under the name Nesterenkonia sandarakina. RNAcentral describes it as "bacterial SSU rRNA". It matches the Rfam family "Bacterial small subunit ribosomal RNA", at positions 59 to 754 of the family's 1533-position model. Lineage: Bacteria; Bacillati; Actinomycetota; Actinomycetes; Micrococcales; Micrococcaceae. The record is from RNAcentral.